AACGGAAAGGCCCUGCUUUUGUGGGGUGCUCGAGUGGCGAACGGGUGAGUAACACGUGAGUAACCUGCCCUUGACUUUGGGAUAACUUCAGGAAACUGGGGCUAAUACCGGAUAGGAGCUCCUGCUGCAUGGUGGGGGUUGGAAAGUUUCGGCGGUUGGGGAUGGACUCGCGGCUUAUCAGCUUGUUGGUGGGGUAGUGGCUUACCAAGGCUUUGACGGGUAGCCGGCCUGAGAGGGUGACCGGCCACAUUGGGACUGAGAUACGGCCCAGACUCCUACGGGAGGCAGUAGUGGGGAAUAUUGCACAAUGGGCGGAAGCCUGAUGCAGCAACGCCGCGUGCGGGAUGACGGCCUUCGGGUUGUAAACCGCUUUCGCCUGUGACGAAGCGUGAGUGACGGUAAUGGGUAAAGAAGCACCGGCUAACUACGUGCCAGCAGCCGCGGUGAUACGUAGGGUGCGAGCGUUGUUCGGAUUUAUUGGGCGUAAAGGGCUCGUAGGUGGUUGAUCGCGUCGGAAGUGUAAUCUUGGGGCUUAACCCUGAGCGUGCUUUCGAUACGGGUUGACUUGAGGAAGGUAGGGGAGAAUGGAAUUCCUGGUGGAGCGGUGGAAUGCGCAGAUAUCAGGAGGAACACCAGUGGCGAAGGCGGUUCUCUGGGCCUUUCCUGACGCUGAGGAGCGAAAGCGUGGGGAGCGAACAGGCUUAGAUACCCUGGU
RNAcentral lists this ribosomal RNA (715 nucleotides) under uncultured Propionibacterium sp. RNAcentral's name for it is "bacterial SSU rRNA". It matches the Rfam family "Bacterial small subunit ribosomal RNA", at positions 65 to 791 of the family's 1533-position model. Lineage: Bacteria; Bacillati; Actinomycetota; Actinomycetes; Propionibacteriales; Propionibacteriaceae. The record is from RNAcentral.